Molecule: long non-coding RNA, 1094 nt
Filed under: Monodelphis domestica (gray short-tailed opossum)
Lineage: Eukaryota; Metazoa; Chordata; Mammalia; Didelphimorphia; Didelphidae
Description: lncRNA (ENSMODG00000044934.1)
Source: RNAcentral
CAGAAAUUUUUUUUUCAAGAAACAGCAACACUGUUUUCCUAUAUUCUGAGGAACUGAAUAGAGGUCAGCAAACCUUUCUCCAUUUCCUAAUUUGAGAAGGAGAAUAAAAAGCUUUCUCUUGUUUCCCUUUUCUAUGGUUAGUCUGUGAGAUCCCCAGCAUAGAAAAAGGGGAAUACAAAUAAUUCAUCAUAAAUGGUAAGUAUUCUGUGUUUUAUGUUGUACCCUUUGCAUGAUAGAUAGCAAAGGGCUGAUAGCAUGAGAUGAUGAAGGGAUAAUUCUGCUUGAAUCAGCCAGAUGAGGCAGAUGAAGUAAGGUUCCUUUGAUUUUUAAAAAGCAUAUUAUUAGUUUUCACAUUCAUAUUCUACACAACAGAGCUGAAUUUCCACUAACAUAGAUGUAUCACGACUAAUGAACUUUUCUUUGUUUUUUUUUAUAAGACCAUAGAACUAGAAUUUUAGACUCAGAUGGGUCUUGGAGGACAUCAAAUCCAACCCCUCUCAUUUUACAGAAACUGAGGCUGAGGAUACACGGGUGCGAGCAGGAGGGAAGAGUCAAGAUGGCCACUUAGAAGCUGCAAAAGUUGAGUACUCUGUAAAAAACCCUUCCACACCAAUCAAAAACAAAGUGCUUCCAGGGGACAGAAAACCAAAUCUAACAACAGGACAGAACUGAGAGACCCUCCUGCUUGAUUCAACUCAAAAGGUACCCAGAGAAGGCUGAAUUCUCAGGUUUAAGGAAAAGGAAGAAGGAAGGUCCCAGGACCCCUUCCCCAACUACUGUGCUGAGACUCUAGAGUUUGCUAGGAUCUUGGGACCAGAGCUCCAGCCUGCAGGGAGUGCCUUACUACCACAGCUGUGCCAGGCUCAGGGCUCUGACCACAGCCAACAGGGAGGCAGCUGUAGGAGAGGUAUGGAGAGGAAGUCAACCUAAUUUCAGCCACCACUCUCCAUCUUGAGCCUCUGUUUCUUGAGGUUUUUGCCUCAGGACACAUCUAGCUCCUCAGAUCAUAACUACCCCACUCAAUCUAGUCUAUCAAUAGGGAAGAUAAGAAACCUUCAGAGAUCAAGGAAGCUCAAUCUCUAACUCCCCUCCCU